This 253-nucleotide ribosomal RNA is filed under the name uncultured bacterium. RNAcentral describes it as "partial 16S ribosomal RNA". It matches the Rfam family "Bacterial small subunit ribosomal RNA", at positions 524 to 776 of the family's 1533-position model. The record is from RNAcentral.
UACGAAGGGGGCUAGCGUUGUUCGGAAUUACUGGGCGUAAAGCGCGCGCAGGCGGUCAGAGGCGUCGGUGCUCAAAGUCCACCGCUUAACGGUGGGAGGCGUGCCGAUACGCUCUGACUGGAGGGCGGGCGAGGGUGGUGGAAUUGCCGGUGUAGUGGUGAAAUGCGUAGAGAUCGGCAGGAACACCAGUGGCGAAGGCGGCCACCUAGCCCGCACCUGACGCUGAGGCGCGACAGCGUGGGGAGCGAACUGG